CGGCUUCUGUAUGACCCUCUCAUCGAUGGUGUGCAUUCCCGCAGGAGCGAUCUACUCCAUCUUCUACCACAUGAUCAAAGGUGAAGGGCCCACUAUGACGAGGCUGAAAAUGGUUAUCCAACCCACUAUCGUUCCUGUUCGUGAUGAAGUACAUGUAGAACCAGCUGGUGUGGAAAUGACCUAAUAUCAUAAGAGUCAAUUAAAAAAAAAAUUAUGUAAUAGUGGAAAAGAUUGAAAAAAUAAUCACUUGCAGUUUCGAAGUCGUAUGCUAUCUCUUAAAUGAUACGGAAUUAUAUAAAUACUUUAAAUUGUUUAAUUUUCUUCGGUUUCAAUUUAUAUUUGAUGAAAAUUCCAAGUCAUUGGAUCGCAAAUUUUAAUAAUAGGCCUAUUCAAUUUUACCUCAAUAAAACAUUGUGAUUUUGAAAUAUAUUGGGCAGAAUUCGUAAAAGAACAAAAGCAGUUCAAUAAUUAUGCCUUUUUUUUUUUCCUCCUCAAAAUUAUUAUGGUAGCUUGGCUUACAGUAUAUAAUUAUAAGUUAUAAUUUUUUUAAUGAGCUAACGUUUAAUGUUGUCCAAAAUUAAUACUUCUUUCGACUUUCUAUAUCUCGCGAACGAGGAGCAAUUUUGACACCAUCACGAUAUAGCCAAAUGUAGGCCUGUAGCUUGAUUAUUACCAUAUCAUGUCGAAUUUGUAGUAUACCUUUUUUUACAUUCUCAUAUACUUGAAAUGCCUAUAUCAUGAAAAACAUGAAUUGGUGCGUGGGUGCGUGGGUGAGUGUGCAUGUUGUAAGUAUUUCUACAAUAUUAUUACACGAAGGUUUUGAUUCAUUUUAAAAGUAUUUAAAAACAAUUAAGGUUAUUAAUAUGUCAUAUUCUCUUUCUCUCUGAUGUCAUGUGUUCUACUCUCACCUUCAAUUGAAAUGCAUGUACAGUACUAUGAUAUAAUUUACUCACUUUUAAUUAUUUUAAUCUACUAAUUUUAAGUGUACUAAAAUUGGGAUUAGCCUUGACUGUCCGAUUGCUUUUGCUAAUCCGUCACCUCUACUAUAAUCAAUCCUUUUUGUAUUUCUCAUGUCAGCUAUAUAUGUAUGUGUAUGUGUUCUUUUGCCAUAUGUCGUUUCGUAUAUUUACUUCAAAUUGCUUUAUUUCGUUGGUAUUAUAUAUUUUUAAAGAAAUAAUCAAAUAAACUGAAUUGAAAAAUGUUGUGGACUGAAAUUUAUUUGAGAUUUAAACUUGAUAUAUAUCUAAUCAUGCUUACGCUUUCCUUGGAUGGUGGAUUUUCAUUUAUAACUGGGCCUUUACAAAACCUAACUGAGCUAUAAUUAUAGCUGCAAGGUAAGUGGCAUUGGCUAUAUACAUAACUUAAGUAAUUCAUAGUACUGGCCCUGGUGCAUCAGUAGGCAUUUGGUGUCUGACAUGGAAAAUGUUCACAAUGUCAUCAAAUAAUUUCCCUUCAAAUUAAUGGUCGCACAUCAAAAGUAUGAAAUAAUUAUUCUUGUGUUUAUAUAUAAAAUGAUAAACUCUGAUUUAUGGAAUAACCUGUAAAUCAACCCAAGGCCAAUUUCGAUACAUCCCAUUAAAAAA
This 1583-nucleotide long non-coding RNA is filed under the name Strongylocentrotus purpuratus (purple sea urchin). RNAcentral describes it as "uncharacterized LOC115919835". Lineage: Eukaryota; Metazoa; Echinodermata; Echinoidea; Camarodonta; Strongylocentrotidae. The record is from RNAcentral.